Molecule: transfer-messenger RNA, 360 nt
Filed under: Lactobacillaceae bacterium
Lineage: Bacteria; Bacillati; Bacillota; Bacilli; Lactobacillales; Lactobacillaceae
Rfam family: transfer-messenger RNA
About the family: Bacterial tmRNA, also known as 10Sa RNA or SsrA, is named for its dual tRNA and mRNA-like properties. Its role is to liberate the mRNA from a stalled ribosome. To accomplish this part of the tmRNA is used as a reading frame that ends in a translation stop signal.
Source: RNAcentral
GGGGUCGUUACGGAAUCGACUGAUAUUGUUCGAGCUAGCACUGCGUUUAGGGGUUGUGGCCCUAUAAUCCACUCAGACGAAUUAACUGCAAAAAAUUCAAACAAUAUGGCUUUCGCUGCUUAAAAACCAGCGUGCCUAACUAGUUGUAGCUGUAGUCACAAGCGUCGACUAGUCAUCAGAUUGUGACCUGCGCGUAACCCUCCCAUCUGAAGUGGUUGCGAAGAGGAUAAUCAGAUUAGCAGAAAUGAUCGCCUUGUUGAUUGGCGUGCAUAAUGCGAAACUCAAAACAAUCGACUAUGAACGUAGAUGUGUUAGUGCCGAGAUGUUAGGACAGGGGUUCAACUCCCCUCGGCUCCAUAG